UACCCUGGUAGUCCACGCUGUAAACGAUGAGUACUAGGUGUCGGGGGUUACCCCCCUCGGUGAAGCAGCUAACGCAUUAAGUACUCCGCCUGGGAGGUACGCUCGCAAGAGUGAAAGUCAAAGGAAUGGACGGGGACCCGCACAAGUAGCGGAGCAUGGGGAGUAAUUCGAAGCAACGCGAAGAUCCUUACCUAAGCUUGACAUCCCAAUGACAGCUCCUUAACAGGAUAGGACCCUUCGGGGACAGUGGAGACAGGUGGAGCAUGGUUGUCGUCAGCUCGUGUCGUGA
RNAcentral lists this ribosomal RNA (289 nucleotides) under Clostridioides difficile. Its description in RNAcentral is "partial 16S ribosomal RNA". It matches the Rfam family "Bacterial small subunit ribosomal RNA", at positions 783 to 1070 of the family's 1533-position model. Lineage: Bacteria; Bacillati; Bacillota; Clostridia; Peptostreptococcales; Peptostreptococcaceae. The record is from RNAcentral.